AUUUAAAUAAUUUAAUUAAAAUAUUGAUUUGUGGAGUCAAAAAUAUGGUAAAAUGUCAUUUUAAAUU
This 67-nucleotide transfer RNA is filed under the name Macroglossum bombylans. RNAcentral describes it as "tRNA-His". The record is from RNAcentral. Lineage: Eukaryota; Metazoa; Arthropoda; Insecta; Lepidoptera; Sphingidae.